Molecule: long non-coding RNA, 203 nt
Filed under: Oryza brachyantha (malo sina)
Lineage: Eukaryota; Viridiplantae; Streptophyta; Magnoliopsida; Poales; Poaceae
Description: long non-coding RNA (OBRA_LNC000688)
Source: RNAcentral
AACCGUACGCACACCGAACUAGCCGGAGAUAUUUUUUACCCGUGUAGCUGUCCAAAUCCAAACAAACGAACUCCUAAAAUGAAUGGAUUACGCGAAAAAAAAAAGUUGAGUUGAGUUGGGUAGAGCGCAUGAACAAUGGAUGAACUCGGCAAAGGCGAGAGGAGCAGCAGCAGCAGCUGCUGCUACCCAUCCAGAGCGAAGCG